This is a long non-coding RNA of Oncorhynchus keta (chum salmon), 636 nucleotides long. RefSeq lists it as uncharacterized. NCBI's taxonomy places the organism in Eukaryota, Metazoa, Chordata, Actinopteri, Salmoniformes, Salmonidae. The record is from RefSeq and is a predicted model, not a curated record. The transcript is spliced from 3 exons.
UUUAACUGUUACCAUUUCCCCUUUAACUGUUACCAUUUCUCCUUUAACUGUUACCAUUUCCCCUUUAACUGUUACCAUUUCUCCUUUAACUGCUACCAUUUCCCCUUUAACUGUUACCAUUUCUCCUUUAACUGCUACCAUUUCCCCUUUAACUGUUACCAUUUCUCCUUUAACUGCUACCAUUUCCCCUUUAACUGUUACCAUUUCUCCUUUAACUGCUACCAUGGUGGUGGACUGGUCCAUGGGGAUAGCAUUAGAGAGUUCUGCCCUGGGGAAGGUCCAUGGGGAUAGCAUUAGAGAGUGAUGCCCUGGGGAAGGUCCAUGGAGAUAGCAUUAGAGAGUGCUGCCCUGGGGAAGCUGUAGGGAGGUGGUGGGCUGGUCCAUGGGGAUAGCAUUAGAGAGUGCUGCCCUGGGGAAGGUCCAUGGGGAUAGCAUUAGAGAGUGCUGCCCUGGGGAAGCUGCAGGGAGGUGGUGGACUGGUCCAUGGGGAUAGCAUUAGAGAGUGCUGCCCUGGGGAAGCUGCAGGGAGGUGGUGGACUGGUCCAUGGGGAUAGCAUUAGAGAGUGCUGCCCUGGGGAAGCUGCAGGGAGGUGGUGGACUGGUCCAUGGGGAUAGCAUUAGAGAGUGCUGCCCUGG